CGACGAAUCUUCCGCAAUGGGCGAAAGCCUGACGGAGCGACGCCGCGUGCGGGAUGAAGCGGCUUCGCCGUGUAAACCGCUGUCAGGGGAUAGAAACACUGAUCUUCCCCAAAGGAAGGGGCGACUAACUCUGUGCCAGCAGUCGCGGUAAGACAGAGGCCCCGAGCGUUAAUCGGAAUCACUGGGCUUAAAGGGUGCGUAGGCGGACCGCUAAGUGUCGCGUGAAAUCCCACUGCUCAACGGUGGAACCGCGCGGCAAACUGACGGUCUUGAGGAAUCUAGAGGCCGGUGGAACGAUUGGUGGAGCGGUGGAAUGCGUAGAUAUCAAUCGGAACGCCCGAGGUGAAGACGGCCGGCUGGGGAUUUCCUGACGCUGAGGCACGAAAGCGUGGGGAGCAAACAGGAUUAGAUACCCCCGUAGUCC
This 424-nucleotide ribosomal RNA is filed under the name uncultured bacterium. RNAcentral describes it as "bacterial SSU rRNA". It matches the Rfam family "Bacterial small subunit ribosomal RNA", at positions 355 to 796 of the family's 1533-position model. The record is from RNAcentral.